This 256-nucleotide ribosomal RNA is filed under the name uncultured Pseudomonas sp. Its description in RNAcentral is "partial 16S ribosomal RNA". It matches the Rfam family "Bacterial small subunit ribosomal RNA", at positions 1128 to 1382 of the family's 1533-position model. The record is from RNAcentral. Lineage: Bacteria; Pseudomonadati; Pseudomonadota; Gammaproteobacteria; Pseudomonadales; Pseudomonadaceae.
AUGGUGGGCACUCUAAGGAGACUGCCGGUGACAAACCGGGAGGAAGGUGGGGAUGACGUCAAGUCAUCAUGGCCCUUACGGCCUGGGCUACACACGUGCUACAAUGGUCGGUACAAAGGGUUGCCAAGCCGCGAGGUGGAGCUAAUCCCAUAAAACCGAUCGUAGUCCGGAUCGCAGUCUGCAACUCGACUGCGUGAAGUCGGAAUCGCUAGUAAUCGUGAAUCAGAAUGUCACGGUGAAUACGUUCCCGGGCCUU